UGCGGGAUGGAGCAGUCUGGUAGCUCGUCGGGCUCAUAACCCGAAGGUCGUUGGUUCAAAUCCAGC
RNAcentral lists this transfer RNA (66 nucleotides) under Acinetobacter baumannii 4749. RNAcentral describes it as "partial tRNA-Met". It matches the Rfam family "tRNA", at positions 1 to 63 of the family's 71-position model. Rfam says of the family: Transfer RNA (tRNA) molecules are approximately 80 nucleotides in length. Their secondary structure includes four short double-helical elements and three loops (D, anti-codon, and T loops). The record is from RNAcentral. Lineage: Bacteria; Pseudomonadati; Pseudomonadota; Gammaproteobacteria; Moraxellales; Moraxellaceae.